UGAGAAAAACGUGAUUAGCUCUAGAUCAGGAGUCGCUUUUGCGGCGAUGACGGAAAGUCAUGUAUUAUCUGAUGA
RNAcentral lists this small nucleolar RNA (75 nucleotides) under Aspergillus rambellii. Its description in RNAcentral is "A. fimigatus snoRNA Afu_199". It matches the Rfam family "A. fimigatus snoRNA Afu_199". Lineage: Eukaryota; Fungi; Ascomycota; Eurotiomycetes; Eurotiales; Aspergillaceae. The record is from Rfam by way of RNAcentral.